Molecule: ribosomal RNA, 253 nt
Filed under: uncultured bacterium
Lineage: Bacteria
Description: partial 16S ribosomal RNA
Rfam family: Bacterial small subunit ribosomal RNA
Source: RNAcentral
UACGUAGGGAGCAAGCGUUGUUCGGAUUUACUGGGCGUAAAGGGCGCGUAGGCGGCGCUGUAAGUCACUUGUGAAAUCUCUGAGCUUAACUCAGAACGGCCAAGUGAUACUGCAGUGCUAGAGUGCAGAAGGGGCAAUCGGAAUUCUUGGUGUAGCGGUGAAAUGCGUAGAUAUCAAGAGGAACACCUGAGGUGAAGACGGGUUGCUGGGCUGACACUGACGCUGAGGCGCGAAAGCCAGGGGAGCAAACGGG